Molecule: long non-coding RNA, 850 nt
Filed under: Numida meleagris (helmeted guineafowl)
Lineage: Eukaryota; Metazoa; Chordata; Aves; Galliformes; Numididae
Description: lncRNA (ENSNMEG00000006061.1)
Source: RNAcentral
GGAGAGCGUAUUUCUUAUUUUCCAAAGAGAAAGGGUAAUGCUUAUUCUUACUCUCUCAUAACAAACGCUCAUAAAUUGGAUAGGAAGGAGAAAUCUUCAGUAUCAGAGAGAGUUUAUAAGAUAUUAAGCUCACUGAUGACAAAACUUAAUUGCCAUGCUAAGUGUAAAUGGAGAUUAGAAUGCAGCUUUCCAACACUCAGUACUAUGACACGAUGCUUCUUGGGGACCCAUUUCUGUCAUCUCAGGCUGUCUCUCCCAAGUCAACGUGAAUGCUGAAAUGAACGUCAUUCAUUUCAUAGCUUCAAAAGUAGCUUUGCACUGUAUUCCACAGCUCCUGGUUGGCAUUUUUGUGGAUGAAUACCACUGGGAGUUAAGGACUUGCUGUGACUCUCACUCUUACUUAUAGGAGUUUUGCCUGCAGCAGUCACAUAGUUGAAAAAUAUGGAUCCAUGUGACUGCUAAGAGACCACUGAGAAGCCAACUGCUCUGCUCUGCGCUGACCCUUCCCACCCGCCUGCUCUCGGGCAUACCCUGCACUGCUGCCCAUGGCGUGGAGGAGCAGAACGGGAUGUGUUCCAUGCCCCUCACAGCCCAAGACCUGGCAGGAGCUCCACCACCCGCCCAGCUCUUCUUCACACAUCUCCCAGGCGCUAAGUGGGAAGAACUAGAGGUAGACCAGAAGCAGCCAGCACGCCCUGCGAGUAGGAGCUCCGAGGGACUUUGCAGCUCAGCUUCCAUUCUGCUCACCUGGUGCAUCCUCUGCACUCCUACGUACGCAGAGAAACAGAUUUUGAGUUCUGAUUGUUCUGUCCAAAGAAGGAAAGCUAGUUCAUGGAGCUUGCUGGAAUAA